GAUGAACGCUGGCGGCGUGCUUAACACAUGCAGGUCGAACGGAAAGGCCCAAGCUUGCUUGGGUACUCGAGUGGCGAACAGGUGAGUAACACGUGGGUGAUCUGCCCUGCACUUCGGGAUAAGCCUGGGAAACUGGGUCUAAUACCGGAUAGGACCACUUCUUGGAUGUUGUGGUGGAAAGUUUUUUCGGUGUGGGAUGAGCUCGCGGCCUAUCAGCUUGUUGGUGGGGUAAUGGCCUACCAAGGCGUCGACGGGUAGCCGGCCUGAGAGGGUGUACGGCCACAUUGGGACUGAGAUACGGCCCAGACUCCUACGGGAGGCAGCAGUGGGGAAUAUUGCACAAUGGGCGCAAGCCUGAUGCAGCGACGCCGCGUGGGGGAUGACGGCCUUCGGGUUGUAAACUCCUUUCGCUAGGGACGAAGCGUUUUGUGACGGUACCUGGAGAAGAAGCACCGGCUAACUACGUG
RNAcentral lists this ribosomal RNA (467 nucleotides) under uncultured bacterium. RNAcentral's name for it is "partial 16S ribosomal RNA". It matches the Rfam family "Bacterial small subunit ribosomal RNA", at positions 28 to 507 of the family's 1533-position model. The record is from RNAcentral.